Non-coding RNA from Vicia faba (fava bean), 333 nucleotides. NCBI's taxonomy places the organism in Eukaryota, Viridiplantae, Streptophyta, Magnoliopsida, Fabales, Fabaceae. The record is from the annotation of a GenBank genome assembly.
AUGCGAAAAAUAGGGAUAGAUGGAAGUGAUGAUAUGAAGAGCGGCGAUUUGAAUAAUCGGAAAGGACCACCGGAGUUCUUCGGAGUGCGAGACGAAGCCGCUGUGACGGAAUUGAAGGAGUUUGAGGCAGAAUUAAUGGAGCUACAAGGUGUGACUCGCAAAGUUCAAAGAUGUUUGAUACUGAGAUUGGAAAUGAACGGGGCGAUCUACCAGAAAAGGCGAAGUGAUGUUGACGUGGAGGAGAUCGUCGCCGUUGUUGGUUUCAGAGAAGAGGAACGAAGACGGAAGGAAGAAAUAUUUUGUGCGAAGAAGUUCAGUCGCCACAAAUUAUAA